This 2935-nucleotide long non-coding RNA is filed under the name Marmota monax (woodchuck). Lineage: Eukaryota; Metazoa; Chordata; Mammalia; Rodentia; Sciuridae. The record is from RNAcentral.
GGGGAUCCAUAUGCACUACUGGUCUCCUGGGACUGGCCCCAAGGUGUCUUGGGGAGAAGGUCCUUUUCCCUGCACAGGGACAUUGAUUUCAGCCCUCCUCAUCCACAGGUGGGACAGAGGGAGCCUGUGUUGUGUUGGCCAACAUGGCUGUGCUGCUUUUCUCCCCAGCCUAGGACCUCUGACACACCCUCUCCACUGUGUGGAACCUGGGCCACCAGCAUCCCAGGACCCUUCCAUGUGUCUCUUGGUUUAACUGAACGUCUGUGGCUGUCCUGUCCCGAGUGGGCAGCAUCCUCUGAACCUGGGAAAUGUGCCUGUUUGCAGUUUCCCCAGGCUGCAAUCUUCCUGUGCUUUUUCUGAAUGAGCAGAAGGAAAAGAAAUGAAGGAGAAUGGUUUGGAACUCACUGGGCAGGAAUAGGAAAAGUGCAGAGUCUCAGAAAGUUCCAGAGCACAGCACCCCUUGGAAGAAAGUGAUGGGCAGAUCACUCCUCUGUCUUCUCCUUGCUCUAAGGAUGUCCUCAAGGUGUUUCCUGGGGAAUCUGAUGAUGGCACUGAGGUAUCUCAGGUGCAGUUUAGAUCUGGUUAUCUCAACUGAUUUCCAUAGUUUAUACCUGAUUUACUUAUAAAGAUAUUUUCUAGUCAGUAGAUUUUGCUUUUCCAUGACUAUUCUUCAGUGCCCUAUUUACUAUUGUAAUGCUCAUAUUGGUUCAUUGGAGUUCUGCAAAACAGAUGGUUCCCUGGGCACAAUCUGCAGGCCUGGGAUACACUGUGCUUCAUCUUAAUCCCUGGUGCCCCCUUAUUCUCUUUCUUCCAUCCCCACUCCACUCCCUCUUCUUUCCUGUCCUCCUUCUGUUUAUUCAUCUGCUCCUUUGUCAUUGGUGGGCUCUAGACCUCUGUGAAGCUGGGCUCACUGCUGUGCUAAGGUGUCAGUGCCCAAGCACAUGGUGUCAUGUGGUGCAUUCCUUCCACAUUUCCUCCCUGUCCCAGUCCCGUGACCCCCCCAUCUCUGUCUCCUUUGCCAUUGGUUGUCCUUCUCUCCUAUGACACCUUACCCCCCCUUCCCCUUCCUUUGCUCUAGCUUUUGCACAGGAGGGUGACACGGGACCCUAACCUUCCAGAGUCUGGCUCUUUCACUUGUCAUGAUGUUCUCCACUUCCAUCCAUUUACCAGGAAAUGCCACCAUUUUCUUCUUCUUUAAGGCCCUGAGUUCAGUCUGGAUCAUGUGGGUGUGGGCAGAUCAGGAGGAGCUCUGUGCAGAAGAAGGCAUAACCUGACCACACUGCAGAGAGAGAGCAGAGAGCUGAGGGUCCCCUCAGCCAUGAGCCAUGUGGGACAAUUACUUAUUUGUUUCAUUUUCUGAUCCUUUUGAUGAGAUAUGGCAGUGUGAUGUCUCUCCUAGUUUUCUGUGGCUGAGCAACAAAUUCUCCCCUAUUGAGCAGUGUGUUCCUUCCCAGGCAUGUCCCUCAGGAGUCCAGGCUGGGUCCUCAGCUCAGCCUGAGAAGACUGAAAUGGAGCAGUCGGUGGGCAGCUCUCCUUGCUGAAGUUCAGAGUCUUCUUCCAGGUCCAGUGGCUGAGGUAGAGUCAUCUUUCCAGAGUUGUAGGGUGAGGUCCCAAUUUCGCUGAGGCCAUUAGCACAGAGCUCCUGGAUACUGCUCUGAUUGCCACCUCCAGGAGCAGCAUUAGAGCAUCUCCUCCCAUCCACUCUUCAUGGCCUGAGAUUCUUCUUCUUCUGCCUCCAUGUGCAGAUGAUGGGCUUCAAUGUUGAAGAAAGAUCUAGUGUGUACUCUCUCCCACUCUUAAAUUCAUCUUAUUUGAUUAUAUCUCCAAGAUACUUCAUUAGAAAUUUAAUUGAAAUUCCUGUUUGAGUACUUGGGAAAUGGGAUGGUACAAGGCCUGGGGUUUGGGGCCAACAACUUUGAAUCCUGUCCACAUACUACCAUUUUUUUUCAAUUACCAUAAUGACUGGAUCCCUGUUGGAUAUUCAGAAGUAGGUGCUGAUUGGAGGAAUCAGUUUUAAUAAGAUCAGGUGAUCCAGGUAAGCAGAGGAUAAAGAGGUAACCUGCAGUUGGCACAGGAAUGACAAUGACUUCCCCCAUCUUCCCUGUGUGUCAGCUGCAUCAGGGACUAAGUCCUCAGGAACACAUGGCCUUCUUCUCUCCUCCACCCAGAGGCACUCACUGCCCUCAGCAGAGGCCUCAGGCUCCCUGGCAGAGCUCCAUGGCCUCCCAGCCUCAGGCCCUGACUGCCUCUGCACACUGACUCUGUGUCUUCCUUCCACAGGACCAGCACAUCCCUAUCCCAGCCUUGACCAAGGCUGGUGCACAGCCUGGGAAUAUGGUGGAAUGACAUGCCUGGCCUCCCAGACUGGCCUCUAAGGCACAGGACUCUGAAAGUUCAGCCAUGGAGUCCCACCUUAGACCUGCAGUCUCACAACACCCUGGUGCUCUUUCAGAGCCCAGGGGAUUCAUCCUGAUGCCACAUGCUGAUGUCUUCAGGGAAACCAGAUAUCUAGCCUUCCUGGAGGCUGGCUGAUGGACCCCUCUGGCCAUCAAGUUUCUUCCCAGAUGGAAGAGACAUGGCAUGGCCAAUGUCUCUUCUGUGGUUUAUUUUGAAGCUGUCAGGGUCUAUUUUUCCCUCUCCUCCUCACUAACCUUAGGGUAGCAGGAUGGCCUCCUUCCCAUUCCAGGCUGGGUUAUCUGACCUUGGGCACACACACCAGAGCCAUGAAGUAACUUAGACUUUGGCAUGUUCCAGAGACCUAACAUAUGGGUAUUUAUCAAGGCUACAAGUGAAUUUUAACCUCUGACAGGUCACAGCUGGAGUGUGGCCUUUGAAGGCCCUCUUUAAAAGCUCUCUGUUCCCCUGAGGGUGAGAAUCCAGCCUCUGGGACAGGAGUACCUGUGUUUCUCUUUUGCUAGCAAAGCAAUAAAACUUC